CGUGUAGGCGGCCCGGUAAGUCCGCUGUGAAAGUCGGGGGCUCAACCCUCGAAUGCCGGUGGAUACUGUCGGGCUCGAGUACGGAAGAGGCGAGUGGAAUUCCUGGUGUAGCGGUGAAAUGCGCAGAUAUCAGGAGGAACACCAAUUGCGAAGGCAGCUCGCUGGGACGUUACUGACGCUGAGACGCGAAAGCGUGGGGAGCAAACA
Molecule: ribosomal RNA, 207 nt
Filed under: uncultured bacterium
Lineage: Bacteria
Description: partial 16S ribosomal RNA
Rfam family: Bacterial small subunit ribosomal RNA
Source: RNAcentral